UGCUAUUACCAUACCAGUGGGGGACACACAGAGCACACCUCCGUCUGCUUAUUUUCUCCUGGACAGGUACCUCUGCAAGGAUUCUGAUCAACUCGGAAGCCUUCCUGAGUUCCAUGUGUUAGGGGGAGAAAAGUGCAUUGGUUUUGCCUGCUACAAGGAAGCACUUUAUAUCAUACUCAUGGAGCCAGGAGAACUAUCACUAGGAUGGAUAAGGAUAUACACAUAGCAUUUGUAACCUUAAUAUAAUCUCU
RNAcentral lists this long non-coding RNA (251 nucleotides) under Anas platyrhynchos platyrhynchos (common mallard). RNAcentral describes it as "lncRNA (ENSAPLG00000027510.1)". Lineage: Eukaryota; Metazoa; Chordata; Aves; Anseriformes; Anatidae. The record is from RNAcentral.